Molecule: unclassified non-coding RNA, 370 nt
Filed under: Hevea brasiliensis (rubber tree)
Lineage: Eukaryota; Viridiplantae; Streptophyta; Magnoliopsida; Malpighiales; Euphorbiaceae
Source: RNAcentral
GUCGGAAAGGUUGUAUGGAGGAUAUAUGAGAAGCACUGGCAAGCUUAGUCCACGAUGCUUCCCUAGAGUUAGCACCAAUAAUAGCCGCACCUGCUUUGACAACUCUGUGACAAGAGGAAAAGUAGGGCCUUGUUGUUGCCAAUUGCAGGCCGGAGGCCACAGUUGCUGCCAUUUUCAGUAGAUCAAAUCUCUUAGAGGAAAAUAGUGACCGCGGAAAUACGAAGAAAGCCAACGCUGGAAAAUAGAAAUGGUAGAGANNNNNNNGAAAUGGUAGAGAUUUAACAAGGGUUUUAGUGGUUUUUUGGACUUAGGUGGACGGUUUUGGAGGCUCUCUGCGAGAAGCCGCAGCAGCUGGAAUACUUUAGAGGAC